RNAcentral lists this ribosomal RNA (301 nucleotides) under uncultured bacterium. RNAcentral describes it as "partial 16S ribosomal RNA". It matches the Rfam family "Bacterial small subunit ribosomal RNA", at positions 509 to 807 of the family's 1533-position model. The record is from RNAcentral.
CAGCAGCCGCGGUAAUACGAAGGGUGCAAGCGUUAAUCGGAAUUACUGGGCGUAAAGCGUGCGUAGGCGGUUUGUUUAGUCUGUUGUGAAAUCCCCGGGCUCAACCUGGGAAUGGCAAUGGAUACUGGCAAGCUAGAGUGUGUCAGAGGAUGGUGGAAUUCCCGGUGUAGCGGUGAAAUGCGUAGAGAUCGGGAGGAACGUCAGUGGCGAAGGCGGCCAUCUGGGACAACACUGACGCUGAGGCACGAAAGCGUGGGGAGCAAACAAGAUUAGAUACCCCCGUAGUCCCUGUCUCUUAUAC